Molecule: unclassified non-coding RNA, 166 nt
Filed under: uncultured Helotiales
Lineage: Eukaryota; Fungi; Ascomycota; Leotiomycetes; Helotiales
Description: sequence contains ITS1
Source: RNAcentral
ACGAGUUCCCCUUACCGGGUAGAAUUCCCACCCUAUGUUAUCAUUAUCUCUGUUGCUUUGGCGGGCCGCCCGGCCUCGGUCAGGCUACCGGCUCCGGCUGGUAAGCGCCCGCCAGAGGACCUCAAACUCUGAAUAUUAGUGUCGUCUGAGUACUAUAUAAUAGUUA